Molecule: ribosomal RNA, 459 nt
Filed under: uncultured bacterium
Lineage: Bacteria
Description: partial 16S ribosomal RNA
Rfam family: Bacterial small subunit ribosomal RNA
Source: RNAcentral
CCUACGGGAGACAGCAGUGAGGAAUAUUGGUCAAUGGGAGAGAUCCUGAACCAGCCAAGCCGCGUGAGGGAAGACGGCCCUAUGGGUUGUAAACCUCUUUUGUCGGAGAACAAAACCCGGGACGUGUCCCGGACUGCGCGUAUCCGAAGAAAAAGCAUCGGCUAACUCCGUGCCAGCAGACGCGGUAAUACGGGGGAUGCGAGCGUUAUCCGGAUUUAGUGGGUUAAAAGGGUGCGUAGGCGGUCCGUUAAGUCAGCGGUAAAAUUGCGGGGCUCAACCCCGUCGAGCCGUUGAAACUGGCAGACUUGAGUGGGCGAGAAGCACGCGGAAUGCGCGGUGUAGCGGUGAAAUGCAUAGAUAUCGCGAAGAACUCCGAUUGCGAAGGCAGCGUACCGGCGCCAGACUGACGCUGAGGCACGAAAGCGUGGGGAUCGAACAGGAUUAGAUACCCCAGUAGUC